RNAcentral lists this long non-coding RNA (1142 nucleotides) under Mus spicilegus (steppe mouse). RNAcentral describes it as "lncRNA (ENSMSIG00000014792.1)". Lineage: Eukaryota; Metazoa; Chordata; Mammalia; Rodentia; Muridae. The record is from RNAcentral.
AUGAAGAGCUGGAGCCCCUGGCCAGAUGUCCACUGGGAACUUCUGUGCUGUCCUUCAGCCUGGCUCUGGAGUCACUGCAGCCUCCAAGGCCAUCACAGUACACGAAAGAAGCCAGAUCAUCACUGUGGAAGUGUGAGGAGGCCUUUCUCCAUGGCCGGCAUCCCUGCUCGCUCUUCUCAGAAGAGGGCCGGGGUGAGUCAACAGGGCUGGGUCACACAGUACAGUACUUGAUUUGUCUCAACUAUUUUUUCAAGGGAAUUUAAAAACGUAAACCAUUCACUCACUACUCACAGGAAGCUCCCCAGCCACUCCCUCCCUCUCAGCACUCAGAAACGGAAUCUUGUUUUCUGAUGACAAGAAAGAGGAGGAGGCUGGUUAGUCUGAAGGGCAUAGGGCCUGGGCCUAGGAUAAACAGCAAGUUCCCUUAUGGCAAAGGCACUAGGCGUUUCUCUGAGUAUGUACGCCUUUGUCUUACCAUUGGCUUUUAAAGCAAACAACAUAUAUACCUCUCCUUUAAAACUGCAUGUAUCUCAUUGAUUCAUCCAGUUCAGGGGGUUCCCCUCUUCACACUGACAAGAACAAGCAGACAGAAUGAGCAAGCAUGCAGUCCUGAUCGUGGAGCUGUGUAGAGCAGACACUGGUCUGCUUUCUAUGUACACAGAUGCAAUUGCCUCUGAGGUCUAGCAGUUUUGGUUUGGGAUACAUAUGCUAGAAGCCUUUCACACGUGUAUAGGGAUAUAUGCCGACAGCAGCACAGUUCACCACUGCCACAAUCUGGAAAACAGAGCAAGGGGACAACACUCCACGGCAAUGACGACAAAUGGCCUAGACUGUGUGUGCAUGCACGGAUGUAUAGCUCAACCACAACACUGAACGAAAGGGAGACUACAAUUAUAUUUUUUAUAAAACAGGCAACUAUAUUGGUUCAGGCAUGCUCGUGAAAUCAGAGGAAGUGACUGACAUAAAAGGAUGCUAGUGACCUCUGGGAACUUAGGAGUAUGAGACAGCCACGCCUGGAGUACAGCUUGGUUGUUACAUGGGUGUGUACUUUAUAACCAUUUAAUUACACCUGGUAUUUAUAAUUUACACACACUUUACAAGUUAGUACAAUAAAAUAAAUAGUUGCUAUUAAGAUAAAAUCA